This 97-nucleotide transfer RNA is filed under the name Mycobacterium tuberculosis. RNAcentral describes it as "tRNA-???(cgtc)". Lineage: Bacteria; Bacillati; Actinomycetota; Actinomycetes; Mycobacteriales; Mycobacteriaceae. The record is from RNAcentral.
GCUUGCCGCCGGCCGCUCGGAUCGGCUGGGGCGCAUCGUCGAGCGCUCGCCGCUCACCCGCGGGGUGGUGCGCCGGUUCGUGCCCGGCGACACGCUC